CGCGGCCUAUCAGCUUGUUGGUGGGGUAAUGGCCUACCAAGGCGACGACGGGUAGCCGGCCUGAGAGGGCGACCGGCCACACUGGGACUGAGACACGGCCCAGACUCCUACGGGAGGCAGCAGUGGGGAAUAUUGCACAAUGGGGGAAACCCUGAUGCAGCGACGCAGCGUGCGGGAUGACGGCCUUCGGGUUGUAAACCGCUUUCAGCAGGGAAGAAGCGAAAGUGACGGUACCUGCAGAAGAAGUACCGGCUAACUACGUGCCAGCAGCCGCGGUAAUACGUAGGGUACGAGCGUUGUCCGGAAUUAUUGGGCGUAAAGAGCUCGUAGGUGGUUGGUCACGUCUGCUGUGGAAACGCAACGCUUAACGUUGCGCGUGCAGUGGGUACGGGCUGACUAGAGUGCAGUAGGGGAGUCUGGAAUUCCUGGUGUAGCGGUGAAAUGCGCAGAUAUCAGGAGGAACACCGGUGGCGAAGGCGGGACUCUGGGCUGUAACUGACACUGAGGGGCGAAAGCAUGGGGAGCGAACAGGAUUAGAUACCCUGGUAGUCCAUGCCGUAAACGUUGGGCACUAGGUGUGGGGGACAUUCCACGUUCUCCGCGCCGUAGCUAACGCAUUAAGUGCCCCGCCUGGGGAGUACGG
This 643-nucleotide ribosomal RNA is filed under the name uncultured bacterium. Its description in RNAcentral is "bacterial SSU rRNA". It matches the Rfam family "Bacterial small subunit ribosomal RNA", at positions 232 to 885 of the family's 1533-position model. The record is from RNAcentral.